ACGCUCGACACCUACGGGAGGCAGCAGUGGGGAAUAUUGCACAAUGGGGGAAACCCUGAUGCAGCGACGCCGCGUGAGCGAAGAAGUAUCUCGGUAUGUAAAGCUCUAUCAGCAGGGAAGAAGAUGACGGUACCUGACUAAGAAGCACCGGCUAAAUACGUGCCACAGCCGCGGUAAUCUGAGCGGGCUGGCAAGGC
This 197-nucleotide ribosomal RNA is filed under the name uncultured bacterium. RNAcentral describes it as "partial 16S ribosomal RNA". It matches the Rfam family "Bacterial small subunit ribosomal RNA", at positions 328 to 539 of the family's 1533-position model. The record is from RNAcentral.